Molecule: ribosomal RNA, 31 nt
Filed under: Golovinomyces orontii
Lineage: Eukaryota; Fungi; Ascomycota; Leotiomycetes; Helotiales; Erysiphaceae
Description: partial 28S ribosomal RNA
Source: RNAcentral
UUGACCUCGAAUCAGGUAGGGAUACCCGCUG